GAUGAACGCUGGCGGCGUGCCUAAUACAUGCAAGUCGAGCGAACGGACGAGAAGCUUGCUUUUCUGAUGUUAGCGGCGGACGGGUGAGUAACACGUGGAUAACCUACCUAUAAGACUGGGUUAACUUCGGGAAACCGGAGCUAAUACCGGAUAAUAUUUUGAACCGCAUGGUUCAAAAGUGAAAGACGGUCUUGCUGUCACUUAUAGAUGGAUCCGCGCUGCAUUAGCUAGUUGGUAAGGUAACGGCUUACCAAGGCAACGAUGCAUAGCCGACCUGAGAGGGUGAUCGGCCACACUGGAACUGAGACACGGUCCAGACUCCUAAGGGAGGCAGCAGUAGGGAAUCUUCCGCAAUGGGCGAAAGCCUGACGGAGCAACGCCGCGUGAGUGAUGAAGGUCUUCGGAUCGUAAAACUCUGUUAUUAGGGAAGAACAUAUGUGUAAGUAACUGUGCACAUCUUGACGGUACCUAAUCAGAAAGCCACGGCUAACUACGUG
This 497-nucleotide ribosomal RNA is filed under the name uncultured bacterium. RNAcentral's name for it is "partial 16S ribosomal RNA". It matches the Rfam family "Bacterial small subunit ribosomal RNA", at positions 28 to 507 of the family's 1533-position model. The record is from RNAcentral.